This is a long non-coding RNA of Grus americana (Whooping crane), 8259 nucleotides long. RefSeq lists it as uncharacterized. The transcript has 16 exons. NCBI's taxonomy places the organism in Eukaryota, Metazoa, Chordata, Aves, Gruiformes, Gruidae. The record is from RefSeq and is a predicted model, not a curated record.
UCUGGGGUUUGGAAUCACUUGUACAAUGCUCCAAAACAUUUAGCCAAAGUAUUAAAAAAAACCCCAAACCAACAUUCCCCUUAAUGUAGAGAAGUGAGGAGAAGGAACAUCUUGGACAGCAUUAACCAGAAAGUCUCUUCACAUAAAGCAAGAUGGAGCCUCAGCUCCAGGAAAUUCCUCUGUAGCCUGGUGAACCCAAUGGUGUCUCUACAUGCUCAUGAUGAACCACGUCUGUUAGCAUGAUGGCUCUUGGACAUGCAACCUUGGGGAAAUAAAAGGCCUUUUUGCUAUGAUCUGCACCUGAAUGGCAAGCCACCUACAAACUACUUUUGGAGGGGUAAUUAUUGGUUCAUGGAAAUUCUCCUGUGGAAACUGGGACUCUUAAGGUGCUUUUAUUAGAGACUGCAAUAGGACCCCUCCUCUGUGCCCAAAUUCCCCUGGUUCUCCCAUCUUCCUAUGUUUAAAUGGGAUGAUGGGAUGAGCAGCAGGGAUUGUGUUACACGUGCCAUCAAGCUUCUCGAGGGGACUAUCCAAAGCAGGGAUGAUGACCUGACGUCAUUAAGGAGCUAUGGGAUUUACUGUGAAAAAACAACUGAGUCUGUAAAACUGGAUUUGGAGCAGAAGAUCGUAAGUUUCAUGAUCACAGAAGGCUGGAACUACUCACUCCUUCCAAUGGUGAGAGAGUGUCCUGGUGUCUGGUUCCAACCUCUUUCUGUCCCUCUUCAAACUUGAAGAGAUGGACAACGUAGGAAACUGUGUUGACAAUGGUGCAAAGUGUGAUCAGAAGCUACAGCACCUGUUAUUUUCAUAGAUUAAUGGAAUUAAAGUGGAAGAGAUUGUACUGAUGGUCUCUGCCUGGGAUUAUGGGCAGGUUCGUUGACCUGGCUGAGAGCAGAGCUUUUCCUUUACAUGCUGUGCAUUCAUUUUAAGAUACUUUCCUGGAGAGCCUACAGUCUGAAAAUAUUAAUCUUGCAAAACUGAACACAUGGGCUUAAACCUAAGUGCGGCAUUACAAAUCUUAUUUAUGGAUUAAAAGGGGCUCGAGGCGCUGCAGUAUUCCCAACAAAAGGCCUUUUCUCUCCUGGAGUUUACGCAGCUGAUGAAGAUCACAGGUUUGGCAUUUUACAAAUCCUUGUAAAAAAACCACAUCACUUCCCAAGGCAGUGGGAGCAGCCUGGGAAAAGAGGUUCAGUGGAAGCUAGGAGAUGCAGUAGGAAGCGGUGUCAGAUCCUUCAGUCUGCAGCAAUGGACCUUACUGGUGAUGAAGGGAUCCAGAGACUGCGGUCCAGUCUCUCGUGGGGAUUGCAGGCAGAGACGGCUGCUGAUCCUGUACUUCUAGGGAUGCAUCCUGAUGAAGUCCUUUAUCAAAUGUGUAGGCAAGAAACCAAGAGAUAAGUAUCAAACUAAUUGAUUGCCGUAUCACUUCUCCUCCUCCCUUGUCUCCUCAAUUUGCACAGUUGAUCUAUGCCUAAUGCUCAGGAGGUACCUGUGUUACUGUCUUGUGGGAGAAGCAGAAAUGUCGCCUUGUCUUCUCAAAACUCCUUUCACCCUGAAGAGCUCUACCAGCAGUAUACAAAAAUCACUUCAUCCUCUCUAAAAUGAAGUCAGUUGAGCAAUUACUUUGUGACUCUCUAAAAGGCAGGAGCUGUUUUAGGAGAGCAAACAGUUUACGACUGAAAAGGAGAAAGAACAGAGUGUCCAUCUGCAGCUGUGUAUGAUAAAUAAACUGCAAGUGACAGAAACUGGGACUCAGUAGGGGAAGGAGCUGAUUCAAUCUUUUGGAAAAUAAGAACACUUCUCUGAGGAAAUUGCUAACUUUAUGCAUUUACAUCUUACCUGAAAAACAUCAUUUAUGAACACUAAGUCAAGGGUCUGUUGCACUAACUGAAAUGUAAGAUUGUUGUUCCUUAUCUUUCCCAGAAGCUUAGUGCAUGAACUGUUGUAUUCCAGAGUGAGUUCUACCUGGAGGGUGCAAGAGCUGAGUCAGCCUUUCCCUGCUCAUUUCUUGUUUUUUUUUAAAACCAAGAAAACCUCAACACUCCUGGUUAUUUGUCACAUAAGUCCUGAUUCGAGAGAUUGUGCAUGAGACAGAAUUUCCUGCAGAAGUCAAACAAAAGGUCAGGCUGCAACGUAAGUGAGAAAAGACUGUGCUGGUAUUGCCAGAACUGUUUGCAUUUGCGCAUUCACCUACCAUCUCACUGAAUUUAUCAAGUUCAGCAUUCCACUCUUAGGAAUUUCUACAUGACUGUGGAAUAAUAAAACACCUCUUUCUUGGUAAAAGAUGCUCUGAAGACAUGUGCUAGGGGAUACUGCUGGUGCAAUGGCAGGAGUAAGUGCUUCUCCAUGAUCAGAUCUUCUCUGUGCAACAGAGCUGUGGGACUCCUUGGCAAAAGAUGUUGCAGUGUUUUCAGAAGCAGCGAUGACUUGAAAGACAACAGAGAAGACCCCAAGAAUGCUCCCUGGCUGCCCCUGAGAAGCUUCAGAGUUACAUCCAUCAUGCACAUGAGAGAUGCUCCAAUCCCUUAAUCAUCUUUGUGGCCCUUCACUGGACAGCAGUUUGGACCCCUCCACACUGGACUUGGUUCUUUCUACUGCACAAAGUCUUUCAGCAUUACCUCAACAGGUCUCGUACCCCCCAUUUCCCAUGCUACCACUUUUUCCGUGCCCCGUGUCACACAUGCUUAAAUCAUGGUAUGAAAAACACGUUUGGUGUGCCAUGAUGUUUCAGGCACCUUGAAUUGAUAAAUCACAUAUACAAUAGUAAUCAUCCCAAGGGUGCCUAUAGAGGACCCAUGAAUAUAUGGGGCUCAUAAUAGGUGAUAAAAAUAAGUUUAAGUUUCUCCAGAAGCUGUCAGUGCUGUGCAGUCUGGAUACGAGCCGCUCUACGGUACUAUGCCUGGCUGCUCAGGGUAGGUCCCUGAGACAGAUGCCUUUAGCGAUGUAGACAUAGCUUGAAUGGAAAAAGUAGUCCUUGGGGAUGUUCAGUCAGAGCACGACCUUUCAGCAGAUGGCACAUUUUUUAUAGCCGAGCUCUAGGUCACACAGGAGUAGAAAAACUCAGCUAUUCCUUGUGCUGAGAACUGCUAAAGCUCCAUCAUCAGGGAGCCCCUCCGUGGCAGCAUAAGUGAAGGUCAGAUUUCCAUAUUGUGUCAGCUCUGGGACAAGGUCAUAGUUAUCAUAGUUAUGUACCUGUGCCACUGAAUUUUCCAUGGCAAAGCAGCAAUAUUUGGAGGUCCUACAUAAAUGCAGGCAAUAGAAAGUUGAAAGAAAUUUGCAGAAGCUAAAGUGUAUAUUAAAAUGUAAAUAGCAAGAGAGAACAGUUUGUGUAAGAUUAGGGUGAAAAAUAUAUAUGAUGAUUAUAAAACCUGAUGUAAUGAAACAUGACAGGGUGGGGCCCUAGGGCUGAAGUAAACUAAAUUCCACUCCUUAAACUACAUUAUGCAAGAGUGAAGAUAUAGAAAAUGGGAAAAGUAACGCAGUAAUAAAAAUGUUUUGGAAAGUGAGACAGGAUGAACCAACAGUCUUUUACCCGACAUGAAUCUCCUGCCAAUACCUUUGAAUAUGAGUUUUAUCCUGGCCUUGUUUAUGUCAAGCUUAUUUAAGUUUUGAAAGGAUUCAUGGUUUCUUUUUUUUUCUUUUAACUGAGUAGAAUAUGUAAAUAUCCCCAACAAAGAAGAAAUGAUCAUUAGCUAAAGCACAUAUGGAGAAUUCAUAUUACAAUGUGAUCUGAGUGCUUGUGUUCCCCUCAAGCACCUUUGCAAUCCACCCAUGGAUAAGCGUGCACCCUCAUGCACCAGUCAUGCAGACAUGUUCCUGCUUAGAUGUUUCACGGGUAGACACAGCAGCAACCUGACAGCAAGGAAAGAAAUGUAGAAGUCCUCCCUCACGUGGGACAAGAACACGUGCCCUACUGACCAGGGCUUACCACCAACACCAACAGGGGUCCAGUCCUUCCCCCUCACCACUCCUUCUGCUUUGCUCUAUAAACUUACGCUUUUGUGAUCACAGAUGUGUUGCGUUUAUGACGGAUCUGCUUAUAAGUAUGGCUGUGUUUGUUAUACAGCCAAAAUUUGCUGCCAUGGAAAAGGACUUAAAAGCUGGUCUGGCCUACAGCCCAGUAAUGAGCUGCAUCAAUCAGAUUCAAUAACACUCUGGAAUCGAAUACAGGGAUCUCAGUGUGCAGGGCCAGCACUUGUGUGUUUAUACGCCCAUGAAAGAGGUAAAGUCCUUUCCAUUUUAUUGUCUGGGAAACUGAGUCAAAAGACAUCAGCAGCCUGGUUCUGUUGCCAUGGAAGUCAAUAGCAAAAAUCCCUUUUACAGUCACAGGAAAUGAAAGGUUGAGUGAGAAUUUAUACAUUUCAGUAGAAAUGCCAAAUCUGUUGGCUCCCAAGCUUUUCAGUUAAGCCCACGUUUUGUUUCAUUCCCUGUUAGGCACCAAUGGUGUAUCAUGAUCAGUACUUUCUGUUGCACAUCUGUGAUGCUUCAGAAGGAAGUGACUCUUUUAUUUGUAAUGAACUGAUACAGAUUUGCAGUCCUGCAUACUGAAGGAGAGGAGGUAGAAGUGGUUUUCUUUAGUAAACAGUUUACCCUGGAGGAAGAAUUUGGGUUACCUCGGUAUAUGCGGGCAUUAUUUGAUGUCUAUUACUGACGGUAGAAGUAUUAAAUUUCUAAAAUCCAGUAUGGUGUACUGGAUAUGUGUUCAGUUACUAAUAUUUAGCACAAGAGGUCAGACAGCACUCUGUGGAAAAAAGGUGCCUUCCUUGGAUUAGCCAUACUGUUCUUUAAUGUCUUGAAAUCAGAUAUCAUUCAUAAAUUACAGGCAAAAUUAAGCGAGUGAGGAGUCAUCACUCUGCAGUACCUGUUUUCAUCAACAAGUUGCCUUCUGUAUAUAAACGAACACUGCUGUGUCAGAGCAGAUUAAACCCUUUGCUCUUUUUCCUCUUUGUUCUGAGUACGGUGUCAGUACCACGCAUCCAGCUGUUUGAACAAAGAGGAUUAACCUUCUCCUGGGGCCAGUUAUACAGCCCAGCUGUCUGCCGUCAUUGCGGAGCUGCCAAGGAGCCCAGCCAGGGACACAUGUGGCAGGAGCACCUGUGUCUCAGUGCAAGCAGCUGAGAAGGUGCAAACAGGAAUAUUAAACUCCCGGCAAGGCAGAGGGCAACAGUCCCAGCAACCGCUACUUCCUGGCAUGGGAAAGCAAGCUACUGCUGGUUACACGAGAAAGAAGAAGAAGACAGAGACACAGGUCAGUCUUGCCUCUUCAUAUGUACUGCUUCCAGCUGAGUGCGGUUCACAGCGAGUAGGAAAGCUCACUCCUCAUACAGGUAAUUUCCAUACAGCUUUGUAGGGCUUGAACAAGCCUAGGUCCAUGUGUCUGCUGCUUCUGCUACAAGGAUUGCCCUUUGUGGAGAUAAACCGGACAGGGCUGAGGUGCAAAUGGUGACAGAAGUGUGACGCACAACUGCUUUUGGCAGGGAGUUUCCUGAGGUUCUGCCUGGCCUUGUGAACAGAAUAACUCGGCUCCCUUUCAUCUCUCCUUCCCGGAGCACUGUUGAAAACACCCCACGUGAAACAGCGUGGCUUCCAAGGCAGCCGGCUGGAAAAACUGGACGGCAAUCCGAAAUAAGAGCCAGCUGCAGGUGACGCAUGCAGAGAUAAGGUCCUCUUGUCUAGUCCGGCUGAUCUGGCAGUGCCCGUGCAAAGUGUGGAAAUGUGCCCCUGCUUGAACUGCCUCUAUCUGUGUGUUUUGUGAUCCGGAAUGCAGAGAUCUGGCAUUAGUAACCACAGAAUUGUACCCUCAGUUUACUUCUGGGUAAAACCAGAGGACAUAGAUGAGUAAAAGUAUACUCAUGUUACUAGACAAAAUGAUUAGGUUAAUGAAAUGCAAACACAAGUUUUAUGGUUUUGAAUGCCUAAAAAAUGCCUAGUUAAAUGUAUCUAUAGUAAACACUAUGCCCUUUCCAGGUACUUGCCAAGAGCAGAGAUUUGUACUAAACAUCAAAGGCAAAAUUAAUCAGGGGUAACCUGCAGGCCUGAGAGAGCAAGUAAUGGACAUAGUCUGCAGUUUUUCGGCUCGUGAACCAGACAAGGACAUCCAUUUGAGGACACUAAUAAGUUUUGGCAUGUCAGCCACAGAUCAGCGAUCAAAGCCAUGCUGAUUCGUAUUGGCUCGCACAUCACUAUUAAUCUACCUUACUAUUUAUUUAUUGGAUUAUAAAAUAACUUAGACGCUUAAAUCCCUUGUAUUCCCACAGCUUGAAAAACUGUUCAGUUCUGGUCCUUUCAUCUGGAAAUGAUAUUUAGCAAAGCCAGGAAAUGUUCAAAGAGGGACAACAGGAAUGACUGAAGGGAUGGCAUGGCUGUGCUAAUAGAAAACACUAACAUUUGAGCCUGGAAAUAGUGAGCACAAGCCUCCAGACCAACCCCUCAUCAUAUUUGACAACACGUACCCAUGUCUUAGUUCUACUGAAAGCCUUAGCGCUUGGCUCAGCUUCCCUCAUUUUAAAUGUAUAAAGAAACUUCCAACGAAGUUCAAAUGCGCGGCCUGAAAUGCCUUGUCAUGAGGAACUGAACAGAAAAACCCAGGCAAAAGCUCCUGUACGUGGGAGGUAGAUAUGAAAGUAAUUCUCUGCUGGUUUCAGCCAAGGGAGAGCUGGGUACCUGCCACUUUGCAAACCCACAGAUUUCUGAGAUUAUCCUCUGAUGAGCAGACGUUUUCUUUAAAUAGCAUGCUGCAAAUUAACAGUUCUCAGAAAACUUCUUUGACAAAGUCCCUGAUAAAGUUUCUUUCUUAACCCUUAAGCUGCUGUCUCAGAGCAAUUAAUGGAGUGAUAGAAAAGGAAGGGGAUGAUACAAUGAUUUCCCCUGUGGUUGAUAUCCUCGUGUGGCAAUAUAAGACUGGGAGAUAGUGUGCUUGCGAAGUGGGAGACAGUGGAUAAAUUUUGAGCUCAGAGGCAUCUGGUUAUAGCUAUUUUCUCUGUUCCAAGGCAAUUUUCAAGAUAGUUUACAUUUUUUUGCUGUCCUGAAUUAUGAUAAAUACAACAUAUGUCUGUGAAAUAAAAAAUCAGGACAAACUCUUGGGGUUUUUUCCCUCCUUCUCACAAUGAAUUAAUUUAAAUGUUAAAAAAAAAAAAAGGAAUAUUCUGUUAUGUAAUUCACAAAAAUCUCACAUAAUUUGACAAGCUUGUUUUCACUACUUGUUUUAAAAUUUUAAAUUCUUUAGCAUGGACCUUCUCUGGCAAACAAGAAUUGGUAUUUCUCUAUGAAAAACGUUUCAUUGAAAACUGUCUGACUGAUAUGCUACAAUGCAGGAGGGGCUAAAACUGCAUUUUUUGAACAGAAGCAAUUCAUACACUUGCAAACGAAAGCACAGUAGUUGCUUCCACAGUAAGAGGCAAGACCUCUACAAGUAAAUCAAUGUAAUUCCAUGUCUUUCAACAAAGCAGUGUGAAUAAUGUUAGCAGCAAAUCUCUUCCCUGGUUUCUAAAGCAGAAUUUCCUGUCACAAACAGGUUGGAGCCUGACUCUGUUAGCAUAUCUUCCGUGUCUCCUUAUACUUUUUCUGCAUCAGCCAUUGCGAUACGUAUUUGUCCUGAACUGUAAUAAUCAUAGACUUAAUCACAACAUGAGUGCUGCUGAUUCUUCUCAAUAUGUGUUGCAUAAUAAUAUCAAUCAUUUUCUUUAGUGAAAAUGCCAUUUAGUCUUUACAAAAAAAACUUCAUGGGCACUUACCCUGUCUGAGGAAGAUCCAGUGCACCAUCUUUUGUAGUGUUGCCACAAUGUUUUUCAUUUACAACUAAAUACAAACUAGGUUAAACUUUGUUCUUUUAUUCCUUUUACUUCCUCCCAUUUUGUUUGUUUGCUCACUUGCAUGACUGGGCGAGAGCACCUUUGUUUUUUAAUUUUUCCUCUGCGAUCAUCUCAUGGACCACUUUCCAAUGUCCAUGUCUCUCAGACUGCCACCAGUCCACAACCUACAAGACAAGAGUCACUAAUGUAUAGCACUGCAGUGCUACUAUUCUUAGCCCCCAUGGACUAUAUUUUCUGUAUUCUCUCUUUCAUCAGGUUCUUCUUCAUCGAAGUAAAUCACCUAAGUCCAAGGUCUUUUGCCAGUACUGUUCCACUGAGUUUUGGUGGAUUUUGCUGGCAUAGAUGGGAGCAGAACACUGUCUCUAAUUGAAAGAGAUAUGCAAGUCUAUCUGUUCUCAUAGAAAGGCAAAUAGAUGAAGAGCUGCCAUCAAAUAAUGUGUACUGUCCAAAG